CGCUGGCGGCAGGCCUAACACAUGCAAGUCGAGCGGUAGAGAGAAGCUUGCUUCUCUUGAGAGCGGCGGACGGGUGAGUAAUGCCUAGGAAUCUGCCUGGUAGUGGGGGAUAACGUUCGGAAACGGACGCUAAUACCGCAUACGUCCUACGGGAGAAAGCAGGGGACCUUCGGGCCUUGCGCUAUCAGAUGAGCCUAGGUCGGAUUAGCUAGUUGGUGUGGUAAUGGCUCACCAAGGCGACGAUCCGUAACUGGUCUGAGAGGAUGAUCAGUCACACUGGAACUGAGACACGGUCCAGACUCCUACGGGAGGCAGCAGUGGGGAAUAUUGGACAAUGGGCGAAAGCCUGAUCCAGCCAUGCCGCGUGUGUGAAGAAGGUCUUCGGAUUGUAAAGCACUUUAAGUUGGGAGGAAGGGUUGUAGAUUAAUACUCUGCAAUUUUGACGUUACCGACAGAAUAAGCACCGGCUAACUCUGUGCCAGCAGCCGCGGUAAUACAGAGGGUGCAAGCGUUAAUCGGAAUUACUGGGCGUAAAGCGCGCGUAGGUGGUUUGUUAAGUUGGAUGUGAAAUCCCCGGGCUCAACCUGGGAACUGCAUUCAAAACUGACUGACUAGAGUAUGGUAGAGGGUGGUGGAAUUUCCUGUGUAGCGGUGAAAUGCGUAGAUAUAGGAAGGAACACCAGUGGCGAAGGCGACCACCUGGACUAAUACUGACACUGAGGUGCGAAAGCG
RNAcentral lists this ribosomal RNA (732 nucleotides) under uncultured bacterium. RNAcentral describes it as "bacterial SSU rRNA". It matches the Rfam family "Bacterial small subunit ribosomal RNA", at positions 34 to 761 of the family's 1533-position model. The record is from RNAcentral.